CGCAAAUUACCCAAUCCUGACUCAGGGAGGUAGUGACAAGAAAUAACAACACUGGAAAUUUUAUUUCUAGUGAUUGGAAUGAUGGGAAUUUAAACCCCUUUCAGAGUAACAAUUGGAGGGCAAGUCUGGUGCCAGCAGCCGCGGUAAUUCCAGCUCCAAUAGCGUAUAUUAAAGUUGUUGCAGUUAAAAAGCUCGUAGUUGGAUGUCUGCUGGAAGCAAUCAGUCCGCCCUAUUUGUAGGGUGUGCACUUGAUGAAUUCUGGCAUCUAUAUCCCAAUAAUAUGAUGGUGUAUACCCUGUGUACACCCAUCUAUAUUGGGAUAAUACCGUUACUUUGAGAAAAUUAGAGUGUUUGAAGCAGGCUAAUUGCCUUGAAUACUGCAGCAUGGAAUAACAAUAUAGGAUUUCGGUUCUAUUUUGUUGGUUUCUAGGACUGAAAUAAUGAUUAAUAGGGACAGUUGGGGGCAUUCGUAUUUAACUGUCAGAGGUGAAAUUCUUAGAUUUGUUAAAGACGAACUACUGCGAAAGCAUUUGCCAAAGAUGUUUUCAUUAAUCAAGAACGAAAGUUAGGGGCUCGAAGACGAUCAGAUACCGUCGUAGUCUUAACCAUAAACUAUGCCGACUAGAGAUAGGAAAAUGUCAUUUUUCUGACUUCUCCUGCACCUUAUGAGAAAU
Molecule: ribosomal RNA, 674 nt
Filed under: Sarcocystis cruzi
Lineage: Eukaryota; Apicomplexa; Conoidasida; Eucoccidiorida; Sarcocystidae
Description: SSU rRNA
Rfam family: Eukaryotic small subunit ribosomal RNA
Source: RNAcentral